This 383-nucleotide ribosomal RNA is filed under the name uncultured bacterium. RNAcentral's name for it is "bacterial SSU rRNA". It matches the Rfam family "Bacterial small subunit ribosomal RNA", at positions 28 to 410 of the family's 1533-position model. The record is from RNAcentral.
GACGAACGCUGGCGGCGUGCUUAACACAUGCAAGUCGAGUCGGUAAGGCCCUUUCGGGGGUACACGAGCGGCGAACGGGUGAGUAACACGUGGGUGACCUGCCCUCAGCUCUGGGAUAAGCCUGGGAAACCGGGUCUAAUACCGGAUAUGACUCCAUGACGCAUGUUGUGGGGUGGAAAGCCUUGUGCGGCUGAGGAUGGGCCCGCGGCCUAUCAGCUUGUUGGUGGGGUGANGGCCUACCAAGGCGACGACGGGUAGCCGGCCUGAGAGGGCGACCGGCCACACUGGGACUGAGACACGGGCCCAGACUCCUACGGGAGGCAGCAGUGGGGAAUCUUGCGCAAUGGGCGAAAGCCUGACGCAGCGACGCCGCGUGAGGGAUG